Long non-coding RNA from Spinacia oleracea (spinach), 922 nucleotides. RefSeq lists it as uncharacterized. The record is from RefSeq and is a predicted model, not a curated record. The transcript is spliced from 3 exons. Lineage: Eukaryota; Viridiplantae; Streptophyta; Magnoliopsida; Caryophyllales; Amaranthaceae.
UGACGUUCAGCCCUUGCCUUAUAAGAAUGCCACGUGACUAUCUACAUCCUCUUUUUUGACAACGUUCUCUUUUAAUCUCCCUAUCUCUGGAUUCUUUAGCUCUAGCUCUCCUCUUCAGAUCUGCCAUGACCUUUCUCUUCUUCGAUCAUUGAUCAUCCUCAUUAAAGGAAUUAGGAUUCAGGCGGCUCCAUUGCGGUUAGUCGGCUCCAUUGCGGUUAGUCGGCUUAUUCGAUUCGUUUGGUACCAGGAGCUUCAGAGGCUUCCAUCAGAAAUUUGCCUCCUACUGCUAUGGAUCCAUCCAAUAAUUUCGUUGUAUACUUUUGCAUCUAAAAACAAAGGAAGAUGAUUUCAAGCUAUUGUGGAGCAGGUUCGUGAUGGUAGAAUAGUGCGAGUCUACUUGCUCCCUGAGUUUCAGUAUGUUCAGGUUUUUGUGGUUGGAAUCCAGGCGUAAAGAUGCUCAGGAAUUUUUGGCAUGAUGAAUUACUCGAGCUUGGAGGACAAGUUUUUGGCAUGGAUGCAGGAAAGUUGUCAUAUGUGGGUAUGAAUGGGAAAUUAUUGGUCCUAAAAAUAAAUCCGGAAUGACAAGAACACAAAGCUUUUUCCAUCAGAAUUGUAUUGGAUGACAAUUGAACAGUGUUGUGAAGGAAAGGGUAAGCUAUAACUUGGGUGAUUGGGUCACAUUCAUGUAAAUUCUUAGAUUUUCUACUUAAGUUCUUUGUUAAACUGCCGAUAGUUGGUGCAUUUUCCCUUGACUGUGACACCUUCUUUUGUUUGUCUAGAAUUUUGUUAAAAGUAGUUUAUGGGUGGUGGUUUGAAGGUUACUAUCCAAAAGAAAAAUUACGAUUGUUGUGUACUUAUAAUUCUUGUCUACGUAAUAAUAAUACUCCGUCAGGUUCUUGCUUCUUUCAAGUAGUUCAUCUGA